RNAcentral lists this ribosomal RNA (478 nucleotides) under uncultured bacterium. Its description in RNAcentral is "partial 16S ribosomal RNA". It matches the Rfam family "Bacterial small subunit ribosomal RNA", at positions 28 to 523 of the family's 1533-position model. The record is from RNAcentral.
GACGAACGCUGGCGGCGUGCUCAACACAUGCAAGUCGAACGGUAAGGCCCUUCGGGGUACACGAGUGGCGAACGGGUGAGUAACACGUGGGUGAUCUGCCCUGCACUUCGGGAUAAGCCUGGGAAACUGGGUCUAAUACCGGAUAGGACUCCGGACUGCAUGGUCUGGGGUGGAAAGCUUUUGCGGUGUGGGAUGGGCCCGCGGCCUAUCAGCUUGUUGGUGGGGUGAUGGCCUACCAAGGCGACGACGGGUAGCCGGCCUGAGAGGGUGACCGGCCACACUGGGACUGAGAUACGGCCCAGACUCCUACGGGAGGCAGCAGUGGGGAAUAUUGCACAAUGGGCGCAAGCCUGGUGCAGCGACGCCGCGUGAGGGAUGACGGCCUUCGGGUUGUAAACCUCUUUCAGCAUCGACGAAGCGAAAGUGACGGUAGGUGCAGAAGAAGGACCGGCCAACUACGUGCCAGCAGCCGCCGUAA